AUGGCUCCCACAAAAAAAGGGUGGUGAGAAGAAGGGCUGUUCUGCCAUCAAAAGAUGGUGACCCAAGACUACACCAUCAAUGACAUUCACAAGCGCAUCAGUGAAGUGGGCUUCAAGAAGCAUGCCCCUCGGGCACUCCAAGAGAACCAGAAAUUUGCCAUGAAGGAGAUGGACACUCCAGAUGUGUCCAUUGAUGCCAGGCUCAACAAAGCUGUCUGGGCCAAAGAAAUAAGGAAUAUCUGAUACCAUAUCUGUGUUAUUGUCUGGAAAACAUAAUGAGAAUGAAGAUUCACUAAACAAGCUCUAUACGUUGGUUAUCUAUGUACCUGUUACCACUUUCAAAAAUCUACAGCCAAUAUGAAUAAGA
Molecule: long non-coding RNA, 367 nt
Filed under: Homo sapiens (human)
Lineage: Eukaryota; Metazoa; Chordata; Mammalia; Primates; Hominidae
Description: non-protein coding lnc-NT5E-4:1
Source: RNAcentral